RNAcentral lists this unclassified non-coding RNA (438 nucleotides) under Hevea brasiliensis (rubber tree). The record is from RNAcentral. Lineage: Eukaryota; Viridiplantae; Streptophyta; Magnoliopsida; Malpighiales; Euphorbiaceae.
GAUCCGAAAACGAAUUGAUCGGGUUUGGUUUUGUUCACUUAUUAAUACUUCUUAUUUUAUUAAUUCCUAGUGUUAUUAAGCCAUAAUUAUCUGAUUCUCUAGUGAGGAGUAGGAUAAACUAGAACUAUCAUUGUUCAGUAAAAGGAUAAUGAUUUGAUAAUUGAUCUCUAGAACUGGGAUGAAUCUCCACUGUUGUUUUGGUGAUUGUUGUGCUUUAUGUGUAAUUUUGGAAAUCUAUGGAACAAUUGUGGAGAUUCAUCCCAGUUCUAGAGAUCAAUUAUCUAUCGAAUAAUGAAUAUAAUCAACAAUGAUAGUUCUAGUUUAUCCUACUCCUCACUAGAGAAUCAGAUAAUUAUGGCCUAAUAACACUAGGAAUUAAUAAAAUAAGAAGUAUUAAUAAGUGAACAAAACCAAACCCGAUCAAUUCGUUUUCGGAUC